GACGAACGCUGGCGGCGCGCUUAACACAUGCAAGUCGAACGGAAAGGCCUGCUUUCCCUUGUGGAUUGCGGGUACUCGAGUGGCGAACGGGUGAGUAACACGUGAGUGAUCUGCCCCCAACUUGGGUAUAAGCCUGGGAAACUGGGUCUAAUUCCCGAUAGGACUGCAGGGUGGUGCCUGUGGUGGAAAACGAUUUUCUAGUGGUUGGGGAUGAGUUCGCGGCCUAUCAGCUUGUUGGUGGGGUAAUGGCCUACCAAGGCGGCGACGGGUAGCCGGCCUGAGAGGGUGGACGGCCACAUUGGGACUGAGAUACGGCCCAGACUCCUACGGGAGGCAGCAGUGGGGAAUAUUACACAAUGGGCGGAAGCCUGAUGCAGCGACGCCGCGUGGGGGAUGACGGCCUUCGGGUUGUAAACUCCUUUCGACCGCGAGGAAGCCACCUGGUUGGAAGGGUGGUGACGGUAGUGGUAGAAGAAGCACCGGCUAACUACGUG
This 494-nucleotide ribosomal RNA is filed under the name uncultured bacterium. Its description in RNAcentral is "partial 16S ribosomal RNA". It matches the Rfam family "Bacterial small subunit ribosomal RNA", at positions 28 to 507 of the family's 1533-position model. The record is from RNAcentral.